Molecule: unclassified non-coding RNA, 377 nt
Filed under: Hevea brasiliensis (rubber tree)
Lineage: Eukaryota; Viridiplantae; Streptophyta; Magnoliopsida; Malpighiales; Euphorbiaceae
Source: RNAcentral
GGGCACUGGAAAGAAGAAAGAAAAUACUGAGCGGGAAGGAGGGAAAAAGCCAUUGAGUAUCAAUGAAUUUCUGAAGCCAGCUGAUGGAGAACGGUACUUUGGUGGGCGUGGCCGUGGAAGGGGCCGUGGUGAUCGUGCACCAUUCAGAGGUGGUUUUGCUGGUGGAGCGAUGUCAAACUCUCUGCCCACUCCAUCAAUUGAAGACCCUGGUCAGUUCCCCACUCUUGGUGGGAAGUAGAGCGAUAGUGUGCCAAACUGUGUUUCUUGUCUUGUUUUUAAUUUAGUCUCUUCUUAAUUUAGUAGAGGUAAUGUCUGGAUUCGGCACAAUAACAAUGUUUAUUUUCUUUGGAUUGAUGUCUGGUGUUUUUUUCAAGUGU